UCGUUUUCUUCUUGAGAAGGCGAAUCACUCUGGGAUUAAGCAGCUGCCACACUUGCCAGAAACAGUGCAAAAAUGCUCCCUGAGCCUCAAACCAAACACAAGCAGCCAACCUGCAUUUUUAAAUGCAGUUCUACCCAGCUCACUUAUAAAGCAAAGGAUAACAGCUUCUCUUCAUAGAUAAGGCUUCCAGCUCAGAGGUGAAAUUCAGCUGGUUCUAACAGGCUCAAUCGAACUGGUACCAGCAGCUGUGGGAUGCUCUGCCCACCCCACUCGGACGUCAUGAUGUCACUUUUUCGCAACGAUUUUAAGCCUCUGCGCACGCACAGAAGGCUUUGCGCAUCGUGGAUGACACACACAUUUCUGAACUGGUAGGGAAGUCUUGGGACCAGAAGUGGGCGGCACAUGAAUUAACAACCGGUUUGCCCAGCACCAAAAAUGUCAAGAGGUGAUCCUGCACUCAAGUCCAGUUUUAAGAGGCCUAUUUAUGGUUGGGCUACAACUUCCUGGAGCACACAUGGCUAAAGUUCCCAAUGAUAGGACUUGCAAUUUAACUCAUCUGAUGAUGUUUCCCUGAGACAAAGUACUCUGCAUUAUCCUUAUGGUCUGAAGCACCAGAAAAAUGCUCACGUCUUAUUUAAACAUUUACAUAAAUGGUAUUUCAUAUACAUAGAAGAUCGAAAAGGACAGACACUGUCUCCAGAAACGUAAUUUUCAAACAUCACGGGAAAUCAUUUAGUACAAGUUCAACAUCUUUAAAAUCCAAUUUGUCUAGAACAAUAACGAUACCCGGCAACAAAAUAUUGACAGAAUUAUGCAGGCUGGCAAAACUUCCAAGAGCCUUUUGCAAGUGCGGCACAUCCCUUGUUCAAUGUUUCAAAAGGUAGUCCUCGACUUACGGCUACAAUUGAGCCCAAAAAGUCUGUUGCUAAGUGAGACAGUUGUUAAGUGAAUUUUGCCUCAUUUUACGACCUUUCUUACCACAGUUGUUAAGUGAAUCUCUGCAGUUGUUAAGUUACCAACAAGGUUGUUAAGUGAAUCUGGCUUCCCCAUUGACUUCGCUUGUCAAAAGGUGGCAAAAGGUGAUCACAUGACCCUGGGAAAUUGCAACUGUCGUAAAUAUGAGUCUGCUGCCAAGUGUCUGAAUUUUGAUCAUGUGACCUUGGGGAUGCUGAGUGGUGCAGUGGCCUAGAGGGGGAGCUCUCGCCUCACAAUUAAGAGGCUGUGAGUUCAAUCUUAGGUAGAGGUAGAUAUUUCUCUCUCUCUGGGCACACUGAGAAUAUAUCUGCUGAAUAAAACUCCGCAUUGGUGACAGGAAGGGCAUCUGGCCAGUAAACACUCAUCUUCAUUCAGUUGCCCAGACUGCAAGGGAUUAUGGGGUCAUUAAAAGAGGAUAAUAAGUAUCAGAUUAAAAAAUAUCAAUUAGUUUUUGAGUGAAGUUAGGAAUUGCUAUGUAUUAGAAUUUAAGAAAGAAGGGAAUUGAUAGUGUGAUGGUGUGAAAUGGAAUAUGUUUUAUGUUAUAUUUUAGAUUAUGUUUGUUAGUUACAAUACCCUGU
Ahaetulla prasina is the source of this 1553-nucleotide long non-coding RNA. RefSeq lists it as uncharacterized. Lineage: Eukaryota; Metazoa; Chordata; Lepidosauria; Squamata; Colubridae. The record is from RefSeq and is a predicted model, not a curated record. The transcript is spliced from 6 exons.